RNAcentral lists this ribosomal RNA (990 nucleotides) under uncultured bacterium. Its description in RNAcentral is "bacterial SSU rRNA". It matches the Rfam family "Bacterial small subunit ribosomal RNA", at positions 505 to 1501 of the family's 1533-position model. The record is from RNAcentral.
GUGCCAGCAGCCGCGGUAAUACGGAGGGUGCAGCAUUACUCGGUAAUCACUGGGCGUAAAGCGCGCGCAGGCGGCCAUUUAAGUUGGAUGUGAAAGCCUACAGCUCAACUGUAGAGCUGCAUCCAAAACUAUUUGGCUAGAGUGUGGGGGAGGAAGAUGGAAUUAGUUGUGUAGGGGUAAAAUCCGUAGAGAUAACUAGGAAUACCAAAAGCGAAGGCAAUCUUCUGGAACAUUACUGACGAUGAGGCGCGAAAGCGUGGGGAGCAAACAGGAUUAGAUACCCUGGUAGUCCGCGCAGUAAACGAUGAAUGUUAGUCGUCGGGUAGCUAGUCUAUUCGGUGAUGCAGCUAACGCAUUAAACAUUCCGCCUGGGGAGUACGGUCGCAAGAUUAAAACUCAAAGGAAUAGACGGGGACCCGCACAAGUGGUGGAGCAUGUGGUUUAAUUCGAAGAUACGCGAAGAACCUUACCUAGCCUUGACAUAAUGGUGGUAGAGAACAGAAAGGGGAUCGACCCUCCGGGGAGCCAUUACAGGUGCUGCAUGGCUGUCGUCAGCUCGUGUCGUGAGAUGUUGGGUUAAGUCCCGCAACGAGCGCAACCCUCGUCACUAGUUACUAACGGUUCGGCCGAGGACUCUAGUGAGACUGCCUUCGCAAGGAGGAGGAAGGUGAGGACGACGUCAAGUCAUCAUGGCCCUUACGGCUAGGGCAACACACGUGCUACAAUGGUUGGGACAAUUAGACGCAAUACCGCGAGGUGGAGCAAAUCUAUAAACCCAAUCUCAGUUCGGAUUGUUCUCUGCAACUCGAGAACAUGAAGCUGGAAUCACUAGUAAUCGUAGAUCAGCAAUGCUACGGUGAAUACGUUCCCGGGUCUUGUACUCACCGCCCGUCACACCAUGGGAGUUGAUUUCACCCGAAGCGGGGAAGCUAAACUGGCUACCCUCCACGGUGGAAUCAACGACUGGGGUGAAGUCGUAACAAGGUAACC